Molecule: long non-coding RNA, 1495 nt
Filed under: Olea europaea (common olive)
Lineage: Eukaryota; Viridiplantae; Streptophyta; Magnoliopsida; Lamiales; Oleaceae
Description: long non-coding RNA (OEUR_LNC014609)
Source: RNAcentral
AAAAAAAAAAAAAAAAAAAAAAAAAAAUUUGUUUACCCUAACUUUAAGGAGAAAGGCAUAAAAGCUAAUGUGAAAUAGAAGAAUAAAAAAAAUAUAAAAGAACAUAUGACAUAAUAAUUCAACUGCUUUUUCCAUUGAUACUCGUAUCUUUUCAUGAUCAUCAUAACUUGAUGUUUUGGCAGAACUGAUCUCAGAGUUUCAAGAGUUCAAACUUAAUCAAUACUUGCAUCUGCCUGUUAUCUUUCAAUUUCUCUCUCUUCCUCUCCUCUUUAUCUUUUGCGCGCCCACAUGUGGUUCAUGGCAUGCUUAUCGCUCUAACACAAAAGAACAGAAAUUAACUAUACUCUUUAAUGAAUUAAUAUCUUUUCAUCUAUCUUUGAAGCAGUUACUAGCAUAUUCCAUCUCAGACAUCACACUUGUCCUGAAAAACUGUUAAUAAUAGAGACUCUACUGAAGUUCUAGUUGUGAUCCCCACUAUUAUUCAGCACCAUUGGUUUCUAUACCCUUAUUGUUGGAAAUCCUUUUUCCCUACAGAAAUAUUGAGUAUUUAAGAGCAUUGUCUAUCAAGAUUUACCUCAUUUACAUCCAAUUCUUUAAGGUCAAAAUUCCAUUUCAACCUCUUCGGAUCAUAUCUAUCAGGAAUCAGUAUAGACACUUGUGUGAAGCAAAACCUUUGCAUCACCCUUAUAAAAGUCAACAUAAAACGAAUCCAUUAAUAUAUCUUCCUAAAAAGAAACACAAUGAGCACACAGUCAGAGUUUUGGGUUCUGUUCUCAGGCAUAAGAAUGCAAGAAGACAACGGUAAGAAUUAGUUUUUACUAUAUAUUCUCAAUAAAUCAAAAUCAAUCAGUACCGAAGCAUGCAAAGUUUCAAAAGAUUUUCUGAUACAUAUAUCUCAUAGAUGAAAUGAUAUCAUAUAUUACAACUGCUAUUAGCCUGUGGAACAAUUGAACGGCAGAGUACCAUAUAUAAACCUUCUCAACAUUAUAGGGUCAAGCCAGUUCAGAAAAUCAAGAACACUGAAAUAUUAAAUUUAGCAGAAAUUCCUUUCCUUAAUAAAAUUAAACAGUAAAGAGUACCUUAUAUACACUUCCUCGGUUUACCUCCAAUUUUCUUAAUACAAAAACCCUGAUUAAGGUAUUAACAACUUUAAAAUUCUAUAUUUUAAGCAAUCAAUUACAGAUAUUUAUCUGAACCAAUUGCUCUUAACAAAUUUUUAUCUCAAUAAUACUUGAAAAAGAUUAAGUUUUAAAUUUGCUAAAAUAUGAAAAGAAAAGGGGGCAAUCAAAGAAUUAAGAAAUUUUCUUCUGUUUUUUCAGUACAUCUUAUCAAAUUAAACAAUCAAAUAGGAAAAAUUACCAUGGGGAAUACGUGGGUGGCAGUUGCAGAUAAAUCUUCAGGAGAAGCUAAAUGGGCUGCAAUCAUAUUCACUCUUCUUCUCACAGUCAGACCCUCCAUUUCUCUACUUUCUUUAAACACAGAGCAAACUACUNNN